AAGCAGUGAACUUAAGCCCCAGUAAACGGCGGCCGUAACUAUAACGGUCCUAAGGUAGCGAAAUUCCUUGUCGGGUAAGUUCCGACCCGCACGAAAGGCGUAACGAUUUGGGCACUGUCUCAACAACAGACUCGGUGAAAUUGUAAUUCCGGUGAAGAUGCCGGAUACCUGCGACAGGACGGAAAGACCCCAUGGAGCUUUACUGUAGCUUGACAUUGGGUCUUGGUACUACAUGUACAGGAUAGGUGGGAGGCUUUGAAACCAGGACGCCAGUUUUGGCGGAGCCAUCCUUGGGAUACCACCCUUGUAGUACUGGGACUCUAACCAUAGGCCAUGAAUCUGGUCUUGGGACACUGUCAGGUGGGCAGUUUGACUGGGGCGGUCGCCUCCCAAAAGGUAACGGAGGCGCUCAAAGGUUCUCUCAGUACGGUCGGAAAUCGUACGUAGAGUGUAAAGGCAAAAGAGAGCUUGAUUGCAAGACAUACAGGUCGAGCAAGGAUGAAAAUCGGACUUAGUGAUCCGGUGGUUCUGCGUGGAAGGGCCAUCGCUCAACGGAUAAAAGCUACCCUGGGGAUAACAGGCUUAUCUCCCCCAAGAGUCCACAUCGACGGGGAGGUUUGGCACCUCGAUGUCGGCUCAUCACAUCCUGGGGCUGUAGUAG
Molecule: ribosomal RNA, 661 nt
Filed under: Clostridioides difficile
Lineage: Bacteria; Bacillati; Bacillota; Clostridia; Peptostreptococcales; Peptostreptococcaceae
Description: bacterial LSU rRNA
Rfam family: Bacterial large subunit ribosomal RNA
Source: RNAcentral